This 547-nucleotide long non-coding RNA is filed under the name Canis lupus familiaris (dog). RNAcentral's name for it is "lncRNA (ENSCAFG00000056626.1)". Lineage: Eukaryota; Metazoa; Chordata; Mammalia; Carnivora; Canidae. The record is from RNAcentral.
GCAGAAUCUCAUGCAAGGGGACUCUGGUAACCAUCAGCUCAUGAUGUGAAGAAGAACAUGAGAAAUGCAAAUGAUGGGGGGCGAAUAUGAGGAACUCGGGGCCCUUUGCCUUGGGCAUAACCAUUGGAGCCCUUGCACGAAUCCCACAGGGGCAAGAACUUCCCUUCUGCUGCUGGUCCCAGCCUGGAUCCCUGCAGGCUUGCAAAGUACGCACUCAAAAGAUAUUUGUUGGCUGAACAAGGAAAUGCAUGAAUGUGACAAGACCACUCAGGAUGCAGGUAAUGGAUGGAUGAGAGGGAUCAGAUGUGUGACAGAAAGCAGCUGGAGCUGGCUGCAUAAUCAGGAGCCUGACUGGACCCACAGACCAGAUGAGAGACCUUCCUCCAAGUUGUCAUCACUGCCAGAGCACAGCCCAGCACACUGCAUUAUACUUGUCUGUCACCAACAAACUCAUUUGUUGGUGAGUUCUUUAGGACAGCCAUCACCACGUUUUUCUCCAUUGCCAAUUAGUUACACAGUAGAUUCUCCACCAGCGUUUGAUAAAUGA